GCCCGGUUAGCUCAAUCGGUAGAGCGUGAGACUCUUACCAAACCGUAAUCUCAAGGUUGCGGGUUCGACCCCCGCAUCGGGCU
RNAcentral lists this transfer RNA (83 nucleotides) under Claviceps purpurea (ergot fungus). RNAcentral's name for it is "tRNA-Lys". It matches the Rfam family "tRNA". Rfam says of the family: Transfer RNA (tRNA) molecules are approximately 80 nucleotides in length. Their secondary structure includes four short double-helical elements and three loops (D, anti-codon, and T loops). Further hydrogen bonds mediate the characteristic L-shaped molecular structure. tRNAs have two regions of fundamental functional importance: the anti-codon, which is responsible for specific mRNA codon recognition, and the 3' end, to which the tRNAs corresponding amino acid is attached (by aminoacyl-tRNA synthetases). tRNAs cope with the degeneracy of the genetic code in two manners: having more than one tRNA (with a specific anti-codon) for a particular amino acid; and 'wobble' base-pairing, i.e. permitting non-standard base-pairing at the 3rd anti-codon position. Lineage: Eukaryota; Fungi; Ascomycota; Sordariomycetes; Hypocreales; Clavicipitaceae. RNAcentral also lists the same sequence under 2 other names. The record is from RNAcentral.